Molecule: long non-coding RNA, 1864 nt
Filed under: Phoenix dactylifera (date palm)
Lineage: Eukaryota; Viridiplantae; Streptophyta; Magnoliopsida; Arecales; Arecaceae
Description: long non-coding RNA (PDAC_LNC005649)
Source: RNAcentral
CUGAGAAUGAAGUAUGAGCUUGCUGAUUAGUAACAGAGGUUGGUGAUUCUCAAUUUAUACUUGUUUUUUUGAGAAAGUUCAGAGUUUCAAGGGCCUAUUCCACUAAUGUAAUACUAAGAUAUUUUAGGUAUUGAUUAGUUGAAAAAAGUUUAGUUUUGUUUGUCAUGUCAUGGAACUAGUGUUUUGACCUAUGUUCAAAAUCAUUAAGUCAUUAACAUGCUACAUUGUAGAUUUUGGAGAUAUCGAGUCUAGCAAUUUUUUUUGUGUUCUACAUUUUAAAGAAUUUGCUCAUCUAAUGUGAAUAUUCUUGUGUUUUGAAAAUAAAUGCUUAGUCAAAAUACAUGGUUCAGUUUUAGUUGAAAAGAUUCUGAAGAUUCAUGUUUUUUGGCAGUACAAUUAUGUUGAUUAUGUGAUCUAUUGUAAUACAAAGAAGAGGUUGGCCGUCAAGAUUGAACCUUGACCUGAUUGGGACCUGAGUGCAUUGGGUUGGGUUAGGAUCUUGCUUGACCUGACUUAGCCCAAAUGACUCAGUGGAUCUUCAAGGCUGCUCAUGAUUCUUUAGGCUUUAGAUGGACGAUGGAAAAGUGACACGAAUAAAAUGAAGAUGAUCAUGUUAGAGCUAGAAUUUGGUAGUGCAUGAUUAAUUCUAUUUGCUAUUUGUGUUGGUUUUGAACUUGUUCUGAACAAAACAGCAAAUCUAGUUGUCAAGGAUUUAGCGCACAUAAUGUUCAUAGAAGCUGAGAGAGCUCUGAGCUAUACAAAAUGGGUAGUUGGACAAACAAAGUUUCCUGCUUGUGGUACUUCCUGUUUCUAAUUUUCUUGCAUAGCCUUUUAUAUUUAUUGGUUACAUUUUUGCAUCAUCACAUUGUCAGAGAUCCAUCAAAAACUUAGUAUUUUUGUUUUCUAGUGUGAAAAGCUUUUUAGAUCUAUAACUAAAUUAGUCAAAAUACAUGGUUCAGUUUUAGUUGAAAAGAUUCUGAAGAUUCAUGUUUUUUGGCAGUACAAUUAUGUUGAUUAUGUGAUCUAUCGUAAUACAAAGAAGAGGUUGGCCGUCAGAUUGAACCUUGACCUGAUUGGGACCUGAGUGCAUUGGGUUGGGUUAGGAUCUUGCUUGACCUGACUUAGCUCAAAUGACUCAGUGGAUCUUCAAGGCUGCUUAUGAAACUGCUCCUACCUAUUAAGCUCGCAUGCUUGCGGGCCUAAUUGACAGCCUUACCUAGAACAAACCGCUAUUCCCCCCUCCUAGAUGCCACACCCAUUUCCACAGGCAUUCAUGAUCCAAAUUCUAUGAUGGCAUCCUCUGCUGACAGGUCUAAGAGGCUGCUGAGGAUGAUGACUGCAGCUAGACGACCACAUAUUGCAUCAGGAGGCACUUAAACAAUAAGAAAAUUUGAGAAUGAUUAACUUCUCAAAUAAAAAAAAGGAGAAUGAUUAAAAAUGUUUAUACAUACAUAAAUACAUGCAUGCAUGCAUAGAUAUAUACAACAAGAAAUAAAAUAAAUCAGAAGAAAUCAAGAAAUAAGUCGGCUGAUGCGAACAAUUUAUUUGAGCUGUAAUUGGGACAGUAAACAGUAAUUUCUCAGAAAUUAUACAAUAUGUAAAACAGCAAGCAAUCAAUAUAUGUUACUACUUCAAAUGACACUAUUGAGUGGCAAUGGCAUUAGAGAUGGUAAUUUAUGACAUGACCUAAAAACCCGACCCUGAAACAACCCAUUUUAAGCAUGUUCGGGUUUGACGUAAAUGAGUUUGGGCCAUAAAUGAGUCAACCUACUUAGACAUGUUUAUCAAAUGGGUUGGGUUCAGGUUUGUACCUUUGACCUGUUAAACCCAUUUUGACAUGUUUCAUAAUUAGGUUAGAUUGUGA